UGGGGAAUUGUUCACAAUGGGCGCAAGCCUGAUGACGCAAUGCCGCGUGGAGGAUGAAGGUCUUCGGAUUGUAAACUCCUGUUGCCAGGGACGAAUGGCUCCGACCUAAUACGUCGGAGAAUGACGGUACCUGGUGAGGAAGCCCCGGCUAACUCUGUGCCAGCAGCCGCGGUAAUACAGAGGGGGCAAGCGUUGUUCGGAAUUACUGGGCGUAAAGGGCGCGUAGGCGGCCAUCUAAGUCAGACGUGAAAUCCCCCGGCUUAACCUGGGAACUGCGUCUGAUACUGGACGGCUUGAGUAUGGGAGAGGGAUGUAGAAUUCCAGGUGUAGCGGUGAAAUGCGUAGAUAUCUGGAGGAAUACCGGUGGCGAAGGCGGCAUCCUGGACCAUUACUGACGCUGAGGCGCGAAAGCUAGGGGAGCAAA
RNAcentral lists this ribosomal RNA (424 nucleotides) under uncultured bacterium. Its description in RNAcentral is "bacterial SSU rRNA". It matches the Rfam family "Bacterial small subunit ribosomal RNA", at positions 355 to 772 of the family's 1533-position model. The record is from RNAcentral.